ACUGAUGAACGGAGGCAGGCGGGCGAUGAGCUGUUGUGACGGAAAUAACCCCAGCUGUAACCAGAGCUGCUAAUGAUGCUGCAGCCCUCAAAUACAUAGUGAAGGACCAGUGGGGACCAGUAAGCCUGCCUACUAACAGCCGCACGUAGGUCCAUAAUACAGCCUGAACAGCAAGGACCAGGAAGGACUACCGAACUCCGAACGAACACGUCAUUAAGGGAUCUGGAAGAAAAGAAAAAAACAAGCGGUGGUAAAUGUAGGUAAUAAGUUAUUACUGAGUAAAGUGUAUUGAUAUAUACCCUUUCUUGGCUU
This is a long non-coding RNA of Pseudophryne corroboree (corroboree frog), 312 nucleotides long. RefSeq lists it as uncharacterized. The record is from RefSeq and is a predicted model, not a curated record. The transcript is spliced from 3 exons. NCBI's taxonomy places the organism in Eukaryota, Metazoa, Chordata, Amphibia, Anura, Myobatrachidae.